UGCAGUCGAACGCAGUAGCAAUACUGAGUGGCAAACGGGUGAGUAUAAUGUGGGAAUCUGCCUUUUGGUUUGGAAUAACACGGGGAAACUUGUGCUAAUACCGAAUAAGCCCUUACGGGGAAAGUUUUAACGCCGAAAGAUGAGCCCGCACUUGAUUAGCUAGUUGGUAAGGUAAAAGCUUACCAAGGCAACGAUCAAUAGCUGUUCUUAGAGGAAGACCAGCCACAUUGGGACUGAGACACGGCCCAGACUCCUACGGGAGGCAGCAGUGGGGAAUCUUGCACAAUGGGGGAAACCCUGAUGCAGCGAUGCCGCGUGAGUGAAGAAGGCCCUUGGGUUGUAAAACUCUUUCGUCGGGGAAGAAAAUGACUGUACCCGAAUAAGAAGGUCCGGCUAACUUCGUGCCAGCAGCCGCGGUAAUACGAAGGGACCUAGCGUAGUUCGGAAUUACUGGGCUUAAAGAGCUCGUAGGUGGUUAAAAAAGUUGAUGGUGAAAUCCCAAGGCUUAACCUUGGAACUGCCAUCAAAACUUUUUAGCUAGAGUGUGAUAGAGGUAAGUGGAAUUUCUAGUGUAGAGGUGAAAUUCGUAGAUAUUAGAAAGAACACCAAAUGCGAAGGCAACUUACUGGGUCACUACUGACACUGAGGAGCGAAAGCAUGGGUAGCGAAGAGGAUUAGAUACCCUCGUAGUCCAUGCCGUACACGAUGUGUGCUAGACGUUGGAAAUAUAUUUUUCAGUGUCGCAGCGAAAGCAUUGAGCACGCCGCCUGGGGAGUACGACCGCAAGGUUAAAACUCAAAUGGAUUGACGGGGACCCGCACAAGCAGUGGAGCAU
Molecule: ribosomal RNA, 835 nt
Filed under: uncultured marine bacterium
Lineage: Bacteria
Description: bacterial SSU rRNA
Rfam family: Bacterial small subunit ribosomal RNA
Source: RNAcentral